UCCAAAUGGGGCGAUGGGGCUUCGUUGGAACCUAUCAUCACAAUAACAUCACAAUUAACUCAAUUCACAUAACUAUAAAUUCUAAAAGCUAUCUCCUAACUAGCUUCCAAUUGCCAUUAAGUGGUUAUCUAUUUUCACUAUCCUAAUCACUCUAAAAUGAAUAAACAACCUCAACUACAAAACACUCACAAGUCUAAUCACUAGCCAUACUUAACACUUAAAAUCAACUAUACUUCAUUACUCACCUUAGUAGCUUUGUAAGUAAAUUCCUUUCCGAGAAUUUUCAAGUUAUCAUAAAAUCUCUCUCUCUCUUUCUCUCUCUAAAACACCUAGCUAGUGAGAAAAGUAUGGGAGGAAGACUUUUUAAGGGUUUUAAGGUGAGAAAGUGAAAGAGCAUGAAAAACCCUAUAACAAGGUGUGUAAAAGCAUGAAAUUUAAAGUUAGUUUGAAAGGGUGAUGGAAGCUUUGAGAGAAGCUUUCAUGGAGGAUGAAUGAAACGUGAGAUGGG
Molecule: long non-coding RNA, 508 nt
Filed under: Theobroma cacao (cacao)
Lineage: Eukaryota; Viridiplantae; Streptophyta; Magnoliopsida; Malvales; Malvaceae
Description: long non-coding RNA (TCAC_LNC005814)
Source: RNAcentral